AGCAUUUAAGGUGGGGACGUCAGAUGAGACUGCCGGUGACAAACCGGAGGAAGGUGGGGACGACGUCAAGUCAUCAUGGCCCUUAUGUCCUGGGCUACACACGUGCUACAAUGGCCGGUACAGAGUGAAGCGAAACCGCGAGGUGAAGCAAAACGCAGAAAGCCGGUCUCAGUACGGAUUGGAGUCUGAAACUCGACUUCAUGAAGUUGGAAUCGCUAGUAAUCGCGCAUCAGCAUGGCGCGGUGAAUACGUUCCCGGGCCUU
RNAcentral lists this ribosomal RNA (263 nucleotides) under uncultured Spirochaeta sp. RNAcentral's name for it is "partial 16S ribosomal RNA". It matches the Rfam family "Bacterial small subunit ribosomal RNA", at positions 1120 to 1382 of the family's 1533-position model. Lineage: Bacteria; Pseudomonadati; Spirochaetota; Spirochaetia; Spirochaetales; Spirochaetaceae. The record is from RNAcentral.